UACAGAGGUCUCAAGCGUUGUUCGGAUUCAUUGGGCGUAAAGGGUGCGUAGGUGGCGCUGUAAGUCGGGUGUGAAAUUUCGGAGCUUAACUCCGAAACUGCAUUCGAUACUGCGGUGCUUUGAGGACUGGAGAGGAGACUGGAAUUCAUGGUGUAGCAGUGAAAUGCGUAGAGAUCAUGAGGAAGACCAGUGGCGAAGGCGGGUCCCUGGACAACACCUGACACUGAGGCACGAAAGCUAGGGGAGCAAACAGG
RNAcentral lists this ribosomal RNA (254 nucleotides) under uncultured bacterium. RNAcentral describes it as "partial 16S ribosomal RNA". It matches the Rfam family "Bacterial small subunit ribosomal RNA", at positions 524 to 776 of the family's 1533-position model. The record is from RNAcentral.